RNAcentral lists this ribosomal RNA (360 nucleotides) under uncultured soil bacterium. RNAcentral describes it as "bacterial SSU rRNA". It matches the Rfam family "Bacterial small subunit ribosomal RNA", at positions 26 to 377 of the family's 1533-position model. The record is from RNAcentral.
AGAGUGAACGCUGGCGGUAGGCCUAACACAUGCAAGUCGAACGGCAGCACAGUAGGAGCUUGCUCUUACGGGUGGCGAGUGGCGGACGGGUGAGGAAUACAUCGGAAUCUACCUUUUGGUGGGGGAUAACGUAGGGAAACUUACGCUAAUACCGCAUACGCCCUUCGGGGGAAAGCCGGGGACCAGCAAUGGCCUGGCGCUGAUAGAUGAGCCGAUGUCGGAUUAGCUAGUUGGUGAGGUAAUGGCUCACCAAGGCGACGAUCCGUAGCUGGUCUGAGAGGAUGAUCAGCCACACUGGAACUGAGACACGGUCCAGGCUCCGUACGGGAGCAGCAGUGGGGAAUAUUGGACAAGUGGGCG